Molecule: ribosomal RNA, 500 nt
Filed under: uncultured eubacterium WR109
Lineage: Bacteria
Description: bacterial SSU rRNA
Rfam family: Bacterial small subunit ribosomal RNA
Source: RNAcentral
GAGUUUGAUCCUGGCUCAGGACGAACGCUUGCGACGUGCCUAAGAAAUGCAAGUCGAACGGGGUUGCCUUCAGGCAGCCUAGUGGCGAACGGUCGCGUAACACGUGGGCAACCUGCCCUGAAGCGGGGGACAACGGGGGAGAAACUUCCGCUAAUACCGCAUGUGAAUUGCUCCAGCAUCGGAGAGGAUUCAAAGCCGCAAGGCACUUCAGGAUGGGCCCGCGGCCUAUCAGCUUGUUGGUGGGGUAACGGCCUACCAAGGCGACGACGGGUAGCUGGUCUGAGAGGACGAUCAGCCGGAUUGGGACUGAGAUACGGCCCAGACUCCUACGGGGGGCAGCAAUUAGGAAUCUUGCGCAAUGGGCGAAAGCCUGACGCAGCGACGUCGCGUGAAGGAUGAAAUCUUUCGGGAUGUAAACUUCUUUUAUCGGGGAAGAAACAGAUGACGGUACCCGAUGAAUAAGCCCCGGCUAACUACGUGCCAGCAGCCGCGGUAAUACG